CCUACGGGAGGCAGCAGUCAGGAAUAUUGGUCAAUGGGCUUACGCCUGAACCAGCCAAGCCGCGUGAGGGAAGACUGCCCUACGGGUUGUAAACUUCUUUUAUAAAGGAAUAAAGUGAGGCACGUGUGCCUUUUUGUAUGUACUUUAUGAAUAAGGAUCGGCUAACUCCGUGCCAGCAGCCGCGGUAAUACGGAGGAUCCGAGAGUUAUCCGGAUUUAUUGGGUUUAAAGGGAGCGUAGAUGGGUUGUUAAGUCAGUUGUGAAAGUGGGGGGCUCAACCGUAAAAUUGCAAUUGAUACUGGCAGUCUUGAGUAAAGUUGAGGUAGGCGGAAUUCGUGGUGUAGCGGUGAAAUGCUUAGAUAUCGCGAAGAACUCCGAUUGCGAAGGCAGGUUACUAAACUUCCACUGACAUUGAUGCACGAAGGUGUGGGUAUCGAACAGGAUUAGAUACCCGUGUAGUC
This 460-nucleotide ribosomal RNA is filed under the name uncultured bacterium. Its description in RNAcentral is "partial 16S ribosomal RNA". It matches the Rfam family "Bacterial small subunit ribosomal RNA", at positions 338 to 795 of the family's 1533-position model. The record is from RNAcentral.